This 434-nucleotide ribosomal RNA is filed under the name uncultured Lachnospiraceae bacterium. RNAcentral's name for it is "bacterial SSU rRNA". It matches the Rfam family "Bacterial small subunit ribosomal RNA", at positions 341 to 792 of the family's 1533-position model. Lineage: Bacteria; Bacillati; Bacillota; Clostridia; Lachnospirales; Lachnospiraceae. The record is from RNAcentral.
ACGGAAGGCAGCAGUGGGGAAUAUUGCACAAUGGGGGAAACCCUGAUGCAGCGACGCCGCGUGAGUGAAGAAGUAUUUCGGUAUGUAAAGCUCUAUCAGCAGGGAAGAAAAUGACGGUACCUGACUAAGAAGCCCCGGCUAACUACGUGCCAGCAGCCGCGGUAAUACGUAGGUUGCAAGCGUUGUCCGGAUUUACUGGGUGUAAAGGGCGUGUAGGCGGAGCUGCAAGUCAGAUGUGAAAUCCCGGGGCUCAACCCCGGAACUGCAUUUGAAACUGUAGCCCUUGAGUAUCGGAGAGGCAAGCGGAAUUCCUAGUGUAGCGGUGAAAUGCGUAGAUAUUAGGAGGAACACCAGUGGCGAAGGCGGCUUGCUGGACGACAACUGACGCUGAGGCGCGAAAGCGUGGGGAGCAAACAGGAUUAGAUACCCUGGUA